Molecule: long non-coding RNA, 930 nt
Filed under: Sorghum bicolor (sorghum)
Lineage: Eukaryota; Viridiplantae; Streptophyta; Magnoliopsida; Poales; Poaceae
Description: long non-coding RNA (SBIC_LNC014991)
Source: RNAcentral
CGAACGUAACAUUUCUUGGUUCGUUAGCAAAGUCUCAGUGGUUAUCAUUAAAAUCUUGCCACUGCUUGCCAUCGACUGGAUGCCUAAGCCUCCCAUCAAUUUUGUGCUCAUCAAAAGCAUACCAGUUCAUAUGUUUGGCAUGCUCUAGGUUAGCGAAUAAACACCUCAAUUGAUCGAGCACAAGAGGGUACCAUAUCACCAAAGGAGGAAUCUUUUUCUACGCAUAAUAGUCCAUUUUUUCUUUUUCUUUGCUAGUGAGUUUUGAACUCUAUUGGUUGUUCUUGUUGGGUCUUGUAUCGCUUCUUUCCUUUAGACAUGGAGGUAGCACAUUAUUCCUUUCAAUAGUCUUUAUUCGUCUUGUACCUACUUUUACCACACUAUUGGACAACUCUCUAAGUCCUUAUAAUCAUCACCGCGAUAUAGAAUACAGUGAUUUCUACACGUGUGGAUCUUCUCGACACCUAUAGUGAGCGGACUAAUUAACUUCUUUUUACAGUACGUGUUAGCUAGCACUUUAUUCUUCUUUUGAAGCAUGUCUCUGAUAAUACUCAAAAACGCAUCGAAGCCAACAUCAGACAUACCACAUUUAGCUUUUAACACCAAUAACUUUAGCAUAAACUACAGUGUCGUGAACUCUUCGGUACAAUCCUUAGACUCAUUAUAGAAAGGCUCUUCUGCAGCCUUCACUAGGGUCUCCAUACCUUUCAUUAAUGACAUUGAUAAAUCCGUAUGACGACAUAAUAUUGCCUCUAAGAAUUCUGCAUCUUCCAUAGCCAGAUGGCUCAAUACGUUCGCUCUAGAAAGAGGUUGUUUUGUACACAAACAAAAUAGAUAUAGUUAGAAAUAAUAUAUUAAAAAUAUAUAAAUAAUACAAAAAUAAUAUAUAAAAAAUAUAGGAAAUAAAAAAACAUUUCUACAGGUAGUGGUUAA